This 639-nucleotide ribosomal RNA is filed under the name Leucocoprinus sp. RNAcentral describes it as "LSU rRNA". It matches the Rfam family "Eukaryotic large subunit ribosomal RNA", at positions 40 to 657 of the family's 3401-position model. The record is from RNAcentral. Lineage: Eukaryota; Fungi; Basidiomycota; Agaricomycetes; Agaricales; Agaricaceae.
AUAUCAAUAAGCGGAGGAAAAGAAACUAACAAGGAUUCCCGUAGUAACUGCGAGUGAAGUGGGAAGAGCUCAAAUUUGGAAUCUGGCGGUUCUGGCCGUCCGAGUUGUAAUCUAGAGAAGUGUUACCUGCGCUGGACCGUGUACAAGUCUCCUGGAACGGAGCGUCAUAGAGGGUGAGAAUCCCGUCUCUGACACGGACUACCAGGGCUUUGUGGUAUGCUCUCAAAGAGUCGAGUUGUUUGGGAAUGCAGCUCAAAAUGGGUGGUAAACUCCAUCUAAAGCUAAAUACUGGCGAGAGACCGAUAGUGAACAAGUACCGUGAGGGAAAGAUGAAAAGAACUUUGGAAAGAGAGUUAAACAGUACGUGAAAUUGCUGAAAGGGAAACGCUUGAAGUCAGUCGCGUUGGCUGGGGAUCAGCUUCACAAACAAGUGCGGUGUAUUUCCUGGUUGACGGGUCAGCAUCAAUUUUGACUGCUGGAGAAAGGCUUGAGGAAUGUAGCAGCCCCGGCUGUGUUAUAGCCUCUUGUCAGAUACAGUGGUUGGGAUUGAGGUGUGCAGCACGCCGCGAGGCCGGGGCUUAAAUAGCCCACGUUCGUGCUUAGGAUGUUGACAUAAUGGCUUUAAGCGACCCGUCUUGA